Long non-coding RNA from Anguilla rostrata (American eel), 7691 nucleotides. RefSeq lists it as uncharacterized. The record is from RefSeq and is a predicted model, not a curated record. Lineage: Eukaryota; Metazoa; Chordata; Actinopteri; Anguilliformes; Anguillidae. The transcript has 2 exons.
GUCAGAGCCCUGCAUUGGGGGGAGAAAAUGGGAGGCUAAGGUUAGCCAAGCCUCCUUCCGUCUAUUGGUUAGAGUCCUCGGUCCUUGCUACCUACGACAAGAGGGUGGGGGUGUGGGGGGUUCUGACAAGCACAAUUUACACAGAGCUCGCCCUACGCUGCUGUUUACUUUGAAAGCUGAUUAGUAUGGGUCGGCUAUUGUUACAAAAGGAGAAGAAACCCUGGAUGGAAUGGCUGAAAGAGAUGGGGGCAAAAAAGAAACGCUCUGCGUAUGUGAAAUUUACGGACGCGAGUGGCGAAAUAGCUCCAGCUGAAUCCUCCGAAGUUUCAGACGGUUUGUACGGUGCUGUUGCUUUUAACCACGAAUGGACGCUAAUGAUAUAUACAGCUCCCAGCCACCGACGGCUAUGUGAAUAUACUUUUUAUAUAUUUAUUUACUUAUUUUUCCUCUGCAUGGACGUUUAUUUGUGAGCGCAGGCGUCAUUGGUACAUUAUGUUACAGAGAAAAGUAGUCUACUCAAUAUAGGCUAUAUGUGUAGGCUAUGGUGGAAAAAAGACUGCGCUCAUCAGACUUAAAAAUAUACGGAUCGGGCUGCCAUCUAGCGUACAGUGAACAUUUUAUGUGCCAAAGCAACUAUAAAUCAUCAAGAUUAAGUAUUGUUCUAAAAAAACUAACCUCAUUAUUCACUGCUCUAAAUAUUUUACAUGGGUUUAUAUAGUUACGUAGACACCAAUGAUAAUAUGCUUUGCGCAUUAUCAGAACGUGUUAUUAUUAGUAUUAUUUUUAAUUGAAGGCCAUCACAGAUGUGAACGCAGCGAUGCGUGUCAUAAUUUCUAUCAAACUUAGUAAUGAGUGAUUUGUUUAUGGUUUGUAGUUUUUUGUUGUAAUUUAUACAAUUUUUUAAAAAAUUCGCGUCGCUUCAAUACUAGUGUUGGUGCGCGAGUGUGUGUGCGUGCGUGUGUGAGGGGGGUGGGGGGUGGGGUGACAGCUAGCCCAUUGCACAGUGGACUAUCAUUUCCUCUCCACAACUUUCAAAAAAAAAAAAAAAAAAUCGGUCGUGUCUUCGGUGUGAUGAAAAGGUGAAGCGAAUAAGAUUAAUUCAGACAAAGGGAAACCUCUGUAAGUGAACCAUCAAGAUUUUAUUCUUUACAGCCUGGCAAGGGGGGGAGAGAUAUAAUGUAGGCCUAUGUGUAUUGGGGGAGGGUGUUGGCUGCAAGGGUGGCGAACGACAGCAAAGAGGAUACCAACACGAGAACCGCGAGCUGCGGGGGAAAGGACAUUGGAACAUUAAAAGGAGCACUUUCCAGCGACGACAAUAUGCUCCCGAAACACUGAAAUACAAUUUCCACAGGCAAGUACACGAUCUCUUUAUUACAUAUUCGGCCAUAUAGCCUACACAUAUUCAUGAAGGCAGACAACAUUUAUGUACAGCAGACGUUCUGAGCCAAAUAGGCAAGUAACUAUUUAUCCGAAUCCAUGUAAGUAAAACCUCACAUUGUGUUAUUACUUGUAUUUCGAAAUUCCAGUGUUCUUAUGUUAAAGAUGACUUUUUGCCCAUUUGUAGCAGCAUUAGCAUACCUGGUCCUCUUCUAUGCUACAUACUUCUCGUCAGAUUUGUUGCUUGAUGACUUGGUCAAAAGAUCAAUUGUCUGUUUUCCAGCCAGUGUCAACAGGUAAGGAAAGUUAUACGAGCGACGUAAACGGAAUAGGGCCAGUUAAACAAAAGAAAACCGCUUCAAAGAAUUUAAACUGGUAGCUACCAUAAGCAAAGGAAACAGAUCAUAUAGCCUACUGUCAAUUCAGAAUACAAUAUAACACUGCACAAGACAAGCCCAAAUUGAUAACUCAACCUGGGACUAUGGGACCUAGGUGGUAGGUAAAACAACAACAUCCAUGCAGUGUUUACAAUGAAGAGUACGGGCGUAGAUAUGCACUGAAAAGACAAAUGUCAAGGCACGUAUCCAAAUGACAGUUCAGUUAUGCAAACUUUUUUUCGGUGAAGCUUAGGCUACUCGUCACUUCGUCAACUUUAUUCCAAACUGAGAAAGACGAAUAGAACAAAAAUCCAUUAAACCAAUUCAAAUAAGGCCUAUUAACGACACUUGUGACCUGGCAUCAUACUUCAUGAUUUAGGUAAGUCUGUCUCAUUAAUGAUGUACUUUCCUUGCAGCAUAUCAGAGCAUAGCAAGUAGUGUAGGGUAUAUUUCGCGGCAGUGGGAUUUAUAGGUUGCGUGCUCUUGUGUGUGCCCGCGCAUAUACGAUAGCCGACAUAUCAUAAACAGUGAAAACAACGUUUUAUACAAAAAAGUGAGUUUUACACACCGUUAUAGGCGCACGGAACGCUGGGUAGAGUCCGUUUCUCGAAGAAGCUUGUUCUAAUCCAAACGGUAGCCUAACGGUAUGGCAGGCUAUAUUAAGUCCGUACCCUGAAAGCUUCAUCUUCACAUCUGAGAGGGAAAUGGAUGCGACAAAUUCAGCCUCAUUCGCUGGUACACAAUCUUGAGUAAUUAUCUAAUUUGUGAUAUGUGCAAUACAUAUGUAUGUAUUGCACAUAUCACAAUAUGUCUGUAUGCAAUACAUAUGUAUAUAUUUUGCUAUAUAUGCUAUUAAUUAUCCUAUUAAUAGGAUAUAGGCCUAUGCUAUAUGUCCUAUUAUUGCUUCGUUUAGGUCUAUAUGUAACCUACUGCUAAUUUAGCGAGUUGUCACACAGUGGAUUUUAACAUAGCUAAUCUUUUUAACUUAAAAACCAGCACAGUAGUUCUAAUUGCUUUUCACGAUGUUUAAAGGCCUCUUAUCGAGAAGCCAUCUGUAAAAAAAAACAUACAUAGGCUAUUUCAUAGCCGUUCUGAGGUUUAAUAUUACACAGGCAGACUAACUUUUUUCAACAAUGCCCGUAUCUUUACACUGUUUUGAACUGUCACAAGCUUGUAAACCCCUUGGGGUUAGUUAAUUCGUUGGCAGGAAAAAGUCGUAUCAAUACAUUUUUCAUUGUGUCUUCUGCUUGUGCAGUACAUAGGUAGUGAUGCUGUUUGGCAUUCCAAUCCACAUUAUAUCUCAGAGUUAGCAAGGGCUAGAAUAACAGACGUUGACAAUUAAAAACGCGUUUUAUUUCAAAUAAUGUAAGGAUUAAAAAUAAAAAAAGAAAGAAAGCCUAUUAAGUCCCUGAUAUGACUUAUUUCACACUCACUACUGCUGCAGUUGAUAUUAGGCUAUUUUACUACAGAAAAUGUAUAUGCUAUAUUGUAUCAAACCAACAAAAAACAUGCAGAAGUUAGUAUAACGCGAAUAUAAAUCCGAAAUACAAUUCUAAGCAUGUUCAAGGUCUUCUUCCUGGCCGUAUAUAGUGAUAAGCUUAACAGCAAUGGAAUUGCGCGCUGACCCACGUUUGUGGAUCUUAAGGAACCGUAAUGAACACAUUUCUGUGAAUGUCGUUAGCAUUCUUUAUGUAAUUUGAAUUAAAACAGUAUUUUGAAGACUAAACUAGUAGGCCAAUCGCGUUAAUGAAAAUCUUAUUAUACUUUUUUCUUGAUACACCCCAUCACACCGUUGCUCAAAAAUAAGCACAGCUGUUGUGUUUUUAUAGCAGAGGAAUCUUGCUCAGGGGCUCUACAAGCUUUAAGUGAAGACGAGGGUGAUUUGGUCCUCGGGAUAUACGAGGCCCAGACUGGAGUUUAAAGAACACGAAGGUUGCUUGAAAAAAUGUUAAAAAAAAGUUGAUAAAGUGCAAGUGAUGUACUAGAGACAGAGUUAAGUGUCUGUCCGUCUGUCUGUCUCACUGUCUGUGUGCGUGUAUGUGUGCAUCGGAGUGUGUGUGUGUGUGUGUUUCUGUGUAUGGUUGGAAACACUGAAUCUGAUUCUAAAUGUUGAUGCAGAUACGACCAUAAGCUCCGUAUUAAACUUAAACAUUUCCCUUAAGACGGGAUGCAUAUAUAUAUAGGAUACCCACUAAUUUGCUGUAGAGUCUGCCUAAAUGUUUUGCAGUUGUACGCAGAAACUUUAUUAGUUCUGAAUUUGGAUAAACAAUCAAACUUAGAUUGCUGCUGUCCUCUAGUGCUAAUGAAUUCUUAAUGAACUUGUGGUUGAACUGAGGAAUUGUGAAGAUACAUCAUUGCAGAAAAAAACGUCUUUCGAUGGGUGAUAGACCUAGUCCUAAUUAGUUUGUAAGGUAUCCGAAACCAAUGUCAUAAAUCAAUUAGCACGUGCGGUUCAUCGUAGAUACCCGACUCGGAAACGACAUAGCAGCAGACGAAAGGUGCACGCUGAAUAUAAUUGACUUAAAAAAGAAAACUUCUCUAUAGCCACAUUAUAAGGACUUAUGAAUCGUUCCAAAAUUGGAUAACAUAAAAAAGUAUUUACAAAUUAAAUAAAGAGCUAAGCAAAAGUUAGUAUUCAGCAUUUAGUCACCACCACCUGAGACAACCCCUCCCCCCCCGCCCGUUGUUUGCGUAUAGCACUACGAUAAUCAGGCUUGCAAUAAGAAAUAGCAUUUAAAUAGGACACUAUAACCCACAGAGUGCUUUUAACAGAAGUACACACGUUAUUUGGAUAACGGAGUUAAAACCACUUUUCAGCACCAUAUUAUUGUAGACCGUUAUGACAAAUAGAAUGAGACCUAAAGCGGCUACUGAGAAAGCUUUCUCUACUGUGGAAAUGACUCGAAUACUCAUGAAAAUUAAUUAUCAUUUAUUAAUAAUAUAACAAUACUUAAAUUAGUAGUAUUAGUAGUAGUAGUAGUAGUAAUAAUAAUAAUAGUAAUAAUAAUAAUAAACAAUAUCAUUUUAUUUACCAAGUAGUUUGGGUGGUAUACAAAGCUAAAAGUUUUAAAUGGUAUGUAUUCCUAUUAUUAUCUUAAAUUAUUCUGUUCAGUAAAAUGAAUAAUUUAAAUUGUACCACAUAUUUCAUUGUAAAAUGUGAAAUAUGAUUAAUAAUUUUUCAAAAAAUAUGAAUGCCGGACGUUUAAAGGUUUUCAAUGUCAUGCAUAACUUUCUGCGACUUAAUAAAUAAUACAUCUAUUUUAAUAGAUCAGAAUAAACUUUAUGCGGAUUUUAAACACGUACGAUGUUCUUUAUUUCUUCAAGUUUUCAUUUCUCGAUUUUCUACAAUAUACGCACUCACACAGUAAUAGGCCUUCUUACAUAAAAGGCAACUUCAAAUAUAAUCCAGUAUCAAGGAAUACAAGAAUGAUGCUCAUCGUGUUUUAAGAUUUUGGACGUCGAUUUUAAAGGAUUUUCAAAGGGAUAUUUUACGGUAGCAUUUGUCUGGUAAAUUAUAAAAGCAGCCUGUUAGACCGACAAGCGCAUUAGAACCACGUUUUGUUAGGCUGCAUAUAAUGUAUUUGUGCAAUCCUUGCAUAGGUAAUUAUUUCUGUAAAAGACGCGGGUAUAGUGUAAUGCUUUUGAAGGCUUUCUCGGAUAUACAAAGCACACAUUAUUUUCAUUCAUAUAUUCCAGAGUAGCCUUUUAUCCUAUUGUUCUUGUUAAUUAAUAAAUUAACCCAACUUUGACUUAACUGAGUUUGAAACCAAGGUGAGACUAGAAAUGGGCUGGCCUGUUGAAGAUAGAGGGACGUAACAUUUAGAGUUAUGAUUAACAAAAGAAAAAGUCAUAGAAAGAGGGAAGAUCCACUUAGAAAGAAUAAGAGUUGCCGUGGGUCAUGCGGUUUGAUGAUUGCGCCCGUGCACCAUGUACUGCAGUAUGUCACUCAUCGCAAGUUGUGCAUAGUGUGUCAGCUGGACGUUGGAAUAAUCAUCUCUUCCAUCAAAACACUGCUCUCUCUCUCUCUCUCUCUCUCUCUCUCUCUCUCUCUCUCUCUCUCUCUCUUUCUCUCACACACACACACACACACAUGAAAAGAAUGAAAAGAGGUUUUUGAGGUUAGAUGCCACGCUCUGUCCGCGUUGGGUGUAGUCUGGUGUGAAGUAGUGACAGAGCUGCAAAAUCAUCUUCUGCUGCUGUUUACAUGGAAUUCACCAUGCUGGCACUUUGAUUCAAGGCAAUAGAACAGGCAGGGGCAGCUCAAUGUUCUUUAAAGCAUCCACCCAGGUGCUCAGACUAGUGAAGAUCUCUUUAAUAUGCAGCAUUACUCCUAUUCUAGGUGGCGGUGUCUUCUGUUGACAUCGGGCUUGAUAGCUGAAUGGUGAGGGCCUGCAUCUCGCAUUGGGAACUGUUGUGGUUUUCCAGUAUUUGUCAUUUCUUUCUUACAUGUUUUAAAAUAAUAAUAGGAAUAUUAAAAUGUUAUAGAAUUUUGUUUUCUCUUUGAGGCAUUUGCUUUCAUUGAAUUACAUAUUUAGUUUGUGAGUAGAUCAUUUGUAAUUUGUGUUGUACAGUGUUUGUUUUCAAAUGUUAAUUGCGGACCUAUGCAGACGCAGUUCUGCGUGUGCAUUGUAAUGAGCUGUGUAAUGAAUUUCCUCGUGGAGGCCAAUAAAUGUAAAUGUGAAAUCUAAUUUGAGCAGUCCAUCUUUGCUUGAUUAAAUACAUAACUACAGGUUAUGACACUGUGGCCUCAUUUAAACCCCCAGGUCUAUUAUUUGCGGAUACAAAACUCUCUCGCUCAGCGUAUCGACAUGAACAUAAUUCUGUCUAACGGGAUAUGUGCCGGGGCCUGGAGCAGCCUAGCUGUGAGGCUGGACGUACAUUCCCGUGCCUGUACCUCCCUCCUUCUCCUCCUCCUCCUCCUCCCAUACUGAGAGAGACAGAAUGUACAGUUAGUUCCUGAAAAGGCGCUUUUUCCCUGGGGGUUACGGAGAGUGUUUUUGGCUUCCAGAACAUCAGGUCAGGGAAGUGCCAGUGUCACUCAGCAGACUUUUGGUCUCAUUUCAAUUAAACCUUCUAAGGGAGGGGAGAUUAUGCUCAAGGAGGGCACUGGAUUCCUCCGUGUCAUUUUGGGUGAUUCUCCAUUCUUGGGGGUGGGGGUUCUCCUGGAUGAGAAACAGACCACAGUGCAUGCACAGGAUGGCAUGGCAACAGUCUCGAAGAAGAAACUGCCACACACCACUUCUUGCUUGCCCCUGUAGCCCCUGCCCCACCCCGCCCCACCCCCACCCCCCCCACGCCAGAAUGUGUGUGGGAAUCAUGCGGAAAUCAUCAGCCCCCCCCCCCCCUUUUUUUUAAGAGCUCUCCGGCUGGACUUUGAGUGACAUCUCCCAUUACGGAUAACAAGGCGGGCCGCACCGGCGCUUACGCUGUCCCGCGGUUUAGCAUCACUUAUUUACGGCUUCCCGCCGAACGAUGCCGCUCGUCCAGGCUUCCGCCAACACGCGCCGUCGCCGGCGGUGAGGCUGCGCACACAAAGGCUGACACAGACGGGGCUUAAUGUUGCGCGGAACCUGACGCAGCACUCUGUGUGGGCGUGUUCUCCUCCACAGCCGCUUCCUUCGCAGGACAUGGAGAGGAUAUACGCUUGGAUAAAUAAACAUUUUAUCUGCUGGCCUUUGCUGGUUAGUUUUGGGGAGACUGCUCUGACAGUCAUAUUUUGGUGUCAUUUUUCCCUAUACAGAAUGACAAGAGCAAUAAACAGUUUUUUUUUUCCAUUAGGUGUAAAUGCCGUAAAUAUCUCACUGUAUUCCCAUUAUUCACAUUGCCAGGAUUCUAGUGCCCAGUGAGGGCACUCAGCUUGCACUGUUUGUUCCAUCCUGCCAGAUCGCACUCUGAGAAAAUACAUGAUGAAAUAAACUUUACCAUAUGAGUCUGGAA